RNAcentral lists this ribosomal RNA (252 nucleotides) under uncultured bacterium. RNAcentral describes it as "partial 16S ribosomal RNA". It matches the Rfam family "Bacterial small subunit ribosomal RNA", at positions 524 to 776 of the family's 1533-position model. The record is from RNAcentral.
UACAGAGGGUGCGAGCGUUGUUCGGAAUCACUGGGCGUAAAGGGCGCGUAGGUGGCGAGCCAAGUCCAUGGUGAAAGCUCGAUGCUCAACAUCGAGUCGGCCACGGAUACUGGUGCGCUUGAGCACUGUAGAGGCUAAUGGAAUUCCGGGUGUAGCGGUGGAAUGCGUAGAGAUCCGGAAGAACACCGGUGGCGAGGGCGGUUAGCUGGGCAGUUGCUGAAACGGAGGCGCGACAGCGGGGGAGCAAACAGG